AGCGGCGGACGGGUGAGUAACGCGUGGGAACGUGCCCUUUGCUACGGGAUAGUCCUGGGAAACUGGGUUUAAUACCGUAUGGUGUCUACGGACUAAAGAUUUAUCGGCAAAGGAUCGGCCCGCGUUGGAUUAGGUAGUUGGUGGGGUAAUGGCCUACCAAGCCGACGAUCCAUAGCUGGUUUGAGAGGAUGAUCAGCCACACUGGGACUGAGACACGGCCCAGACUCCUACGGGAGGCAGCAGUGGGGAAUCUUAGACAAUGGGGGCAACCCUGAUCUAGCCAUGCCGCGUGAGCGAUGAAGGCCUUAGGGUUGUAAAGCUCUUUCGCUGGGGAAGAUAAUGACGGUACCCAGUAAAGAAGCCCCGGCUAACUCCGUGCCAGCAGCCGCGGUAAUACGGAGGGGGCUAGCGUUGUUCGGAAUUACUGGGCGUAAAGCGCGCGUAGGCGGAUUGGAAAGUUGGGGGUGAAAUCCCGGGGCUCAACCCCGGAACUGCCUCCAAAACUAUCAGUCUGGAGUUCGAGAGAGGUGAGUGGAAUUGCGAGUGUAGAGGUGAAAUUCGUAGAUAUUCGCAGGAACACCAGUGGCGAAGGCGGCUCACUGGCUCGAUACUGACGCUGAGGUGCGAAAGUGUGGGGAGCAAACAGGAUUAGAUACCCUGGUAGUCCACACCGUAAACGAUGAAUGCCAGACGUCGGGCAGCAUGCUGCUCGGUGUCACACCUAACGGAUUAAGCAUUCCGCCUGGGGAGUACGGUCGCAAGAUUAAAACUCAAAU
RNAcentral lists this ribosomal RNA (776 nucleotides) under uncultured bacterium. RNAcentral describes it as "bacterial SSU rRNA". It matches the Rfam family "Bacterial small subunit ribosomal RNA", at positions 94 to 906 of the family's 1533-position model. The record is from RNAcentral.